Molecule: long non-coding RNA, 8509 nt
Organism: Heterocephalus glaber (naked mole-rat)
Lineage: Eukaryota; Metazoa; Chordata; Mammalia; Rodentia; Bathyergidae
Source: RefSeq, a predicted model, not a curated record
UGAGCCCCGUGGUCGGUCCCGGCCCCGGGGCUGGAGGCGUCGGCAUGUAAUUGGUAACUCUCACCGUCUCUUCAUAGGAUGGGGGCGCAGUGGGCACCGAGGAAGGCCCGGGAGCCGCCUGGUAAGGUCCUGGAACCGACAUUUUACCUACGGCAAAAACAGAAGACACCAGGGAUCGAACUCCGGACCUUGCACUUACGAGGCAGGUGCCGGAACCACUGAGCUAAAUGUCCGGCCCAACAGAAGCUUUCUUAAGUAAAGAUAAAAACUGCCCCCACCUGGAUUUACAAAUGCAGUCAGAGGAACCCUCGAGGAUGCUUCCUUUACGGUAACAGGAUGUGAAAUUCACCCCCUUGUAUGAGUCACCAAGACUGGAAUCAGGAUGAUCCUACCAAUAAACAGUGAGGCACAGUGGCACAUGCCUGUUAAUCCUAGCACUCGGGAGGCUGAGGCAGGAAGAUUGCUGCAAGUUCAAAGCUAGUCUGAGCUACAGGGUGAGACCCUAUCUCUCUCACACACACAAACACACACAAAUAAAUAAUUUAAAAAACAGGUGAAAAAACUGGGGCUCAAAGAGGUUAAGCUGCUUCUCCAAAGUCACACAGAGAGGCAGGAGAAAGGCUUGGAUUGACAGCCGCUGAACUCCAGAGUUCUUUAGACCAAAGCAUCUCUGCCAGGCCGGGAGGCAGGGAGACAAUCCCUGGCCUCCUUCUGCACACGUGCCCCCAAAUCUAACAAACCCACGGCAGGAAAGCACACGUGAACUUCCGAGGGGUCACUGCCUCCCCUCCGCCUCCCUAAUCUGCAGCAGCUGUGAGCGCUGUACUUUGACACAGCCCAGAUAGGGCUUAAAAGCAUACCUGCUGGUUAAUUUUGUCCCUGAGCUCUCUGCAAUUCCAAAUUCCGCUUCUUCCAUAAACAAGGACCAGGGUCUUCAUGAUCAGUCAGGUGUGGAUAUUCACAAGGCUCUUCCCGCUCGUGGUUGGGAAGAGCUCAGAAUUUCUCUGAAAUGAAAGGGCCCCCUGGGCUGCUUAGGCAAAGCAGCUUUCCCAGGCAGCAGGGUCCCUUGUGAAUGACAAGGGGACAGGGCAAGUUAUUUGGUCUAGGUUUUUUUUUUCAUUCAGUACUAAGGACUGAACCAAGGGCCUUCACACAGAGCUAUCCAUGCUCAGCCCUUUUUUAUUUUUUAUUUUGAAACAAGGUCUUGCUAAAUUGACCAGAAGCCUACAUGGAUCAUCUGGGCUCCCGGCCACGACAGUAAAUGAACCUCGAGACAUGGUGCUGCCAGGGAGAGGCCAGGCACAAAGGCUACAAACCCUGGGAUGCCGUUUAUGAGAUGCCCAGAACUGGUAGAUCCACAGAGAUACACAGCAGAUGGUUGUGACCAGGGAAGGCACUGAGAGGAAACAGGGUUCUCUAGGGGGUGAUGAACAUGCUCGGGAACCAGACAGUUGAGAGCUGCACAUCAUCAAUGUAUGAAACACCACCCAACUGUCUGCUUUCACAUGCUUAAUCUUAGCCAGCAGACACCUGUAAUCCUAGCACUCCGGGAGGCUGAAGCAGGGAGAUUACAAAUUCGAGCCCAGCCUGGGCAAUUUACCAAGAGCCUGUCUCAAAAAAUAAGUAAGUAAAUAAGGUUGGGGAUGUAGCUCAGUGCCAAUCCUAGGAUCAAUCCCCAGUGUUGCCAAAAAAAAAAAAAAGUUUAUAUUAUGUGACUUAUACCUCAAUAAAAGAGAAACAAGACAAGAAGCCUGCUCUCGCCCACUUUAGGGAGCUCUCAUUCACUCCUCCGCAGAGCUGUCUGCACAGUAUAGAGGUCAAGGUGCAGAGUCUGGAGCUGGACGGCCCAGUUUCAUGUCCAGGCUCCCCAGUGCCCCUUGGCCUGCCUUCAGUAGCUCAGUUUGCCAGUCUGUAAAACGGGCACACAGGCAGUUUCUUCCUCAUAAGUAAGGCUCUGGGAGGAUUAAAUGAACCCACUUGUGCAACGUACCUGGCUAGACGUGGGACACACAAGGACUCAGCCUGGUACAUGCCUGAAAUGUCAUGGGUCUUCACAGGUUGAGCCACCAAUCCAGCCUGCCCGGGACAGAGGUUUCCCUGUUACCAGCCCUUUGGUGCUACAUGUGGGCAAGUCCCAAGCCAAACAAGACAAGCUGAUCACCCUGAUGCUUCGAUAUUUGGAUUUGGUUUUUGUUUUUUGUACUGGGGAUCAAACUUGGGACCUUGCACUUGGAAAGCAGGCGGUGGAACCACUGAGCUAAAUUCCCGGCCCUUCAAUAAAUAUUUGUAGAAAACAGUAUCUACGGGUUUAAAAAGGUCACCAAGGGGCCGGGGAUUUAGCUCAGUGGUUUCGCCACCUGCUGCAUAAGUGCAAGGACCCGAGUUUGAUCCCCAGUACCCAAUAAAUAAAUGAAUGAAUGAAUGAAUGAAUGAAUGAAUGAAUGAAUAAAAUAAAAAGGACACCAAGAAGCUGGUCGUGAUGGUGCAUGUCUAUAAUUCUGGCAUUCUGGGAAGCUGAGGCAGGAGGAUCUGCUUUUGAUCUCAGAUUGGGUAACUUAGCAACUUAGCUAGAGGCUGUCUGUGAAAAAUAAAAAGUAAAAGGGGUAGGCAUGCAGCUCAGUACAAAGGCCCUGAGUUCAUUCCCAGCACCUGGUGGGGUGUAGCACGAGUUUGGGACAGAAACAGACAGGAGGAGGGGCCAGGGAUUUAGCUCAGUGGUGCUGCCACCUGCCUCACAAGCACAGGGUCCUGAGUUCGAUCCCUGGGCUCUUGGGAGUACCACUGUGCUCCACAGUAGCGUCCUGGGGGUCAUCUAGGCGGAGGUCAGGUCAAGCUGUGGGUGGACACUUGAAGAGGGAAGUGUGGACGGGAAACAAGGCCUCAUCUCCAAGCCCCAAGCGGGCUGCACUUCCUCUUGAGCAAGAGCUCAGCACUGUUCUAUCACGGCCCUCCGCAUCCAUUCCCGGCUUGGAGCAAGAAGGCUGUGGGGCAGGGGCAGCAAGGUGCGACCCCUUCCUCCUCCAGCAAAGACAGUCAGCAGUGGAGAAGCAGAACAGAUUCACUGAAGCCGAGUUUUACAAGACAUGGGAGCCUCACCGAACACAGACCCACAGAGCCCAGAACCUGUCCACUCCUGUGCAAUCAGCAACAGACUCCCGUGGCCCUCUGUGUGGCGGCUCCACUCUACCCCUGGUGUGGGUAGGGCCUCCAGGUGAGGGACCUACGGUCAGACGGGGGUGAAGAAUUCCUCCAGGACCAGCUCCCCCACGGGAGGCGGGAGGGUAAUUCCAGUUCUGGGUCCUAUGACCCCGCUUGGGGAAGAAGAAAGAAUUCUGUUUUCUAAGAAGGGCAGAGGGGUCAGAGAGGGCACAGCGCAGGAAGGUGGAGAAGGCCAGAGAGACCCCCACACCACCCAGCAAACUCAGAAAUGGCUGUCACUCCAUGCUGACACUGCCUUUUUGUGGGUGUCAGGUAAAGUCUGAGGCUCUGGCUUGAUUGUACCCCAAGAUACCACAAAUGUCAACGACUCCUGCCGGCAGGUAACGGGUGGGGGCACCUCUGCAGGCAGCUCCACUGGCAGUGGCCACUCAGCACACAGAAGGUCUCCUCAUUUGGCCCCGAGUCCUUCUGUGUCCCCAGGCGCCCAGGAAAGAAGGCCACAGACAGAGGAGCAGGGCCCAAGGUGAGCACUGUUCUCAACCCUGCAAGCAGCACCUAGGCCUCACCGCAAAAGCCCACCAGGAACCAGCCUGGGGGGAAACUGAGGCCACGGAGCUCGUGAGUCAAGGAGAUGCCAUGGUCACUGCCUGGUACCCAAGUUACCGUAGUACACGGGACUUUCAGAUACACUGUGCAUGUUCACUUCUCACUUAACACGGGCUGGGGGCUUCAGCCAGCAGUGCGCAGCAUGGACGGAGGCCUGGCCUGCUGAAUGCCUCGGAGGGGGCACAGAAGGGGAGUGAAAGCGGCAAAAGAGUUAGGGUGAUGGAACAUUAGGGUAAGUACUGUGUUAAGCAACAGAAUCCCUGGGACGGAAUCUCCUGGGUUCAAAUCCCACCUCUGUCACUUCCAGGCUAUGUGACCUGGGGCGAGCUGCUGAGUUCCUCUGGGCCUCACAUUUCCCAGUCUGGAAAAUGGGCCGAUGACAACAGUACUUAACAGCUCAGGGGGCGGCAGAGAGAGCCAUAUGCCCAGAACACAGGGUACUCGGGAUGCUGGAAAGGGUGGCUGGGAUGGCUCACCUCAGAGAAGUGCAAUGAGGCCGGGAGGGGGACCUGCCCAGUCACAAGGUGGCUUCACCACCAGGCAGGGAGACCCAUGCACAGACCCUAUCAGUAAACAGGCGCAUAUCUGUCUAAAUCCCUACUGCCCGGGCCUCCCACAAGUGCCCCCAAUGUGGCAGACAGGCAGCCCCCCCAAAAUUACUCCACAGCCUGUGACUCUGCGAAUGUCACCUUAAAUGGUGGGAAGGACUUUGCAUACAGGAUCAAAUGAAGGACCCUGAGAUGGAGGUGACUCUGGAUUAUCCAGGGGGCCCAAUGUCACCACUAAGGGACCUUGCUAGAGGCAAUCAGGAGGUCGGAAAAGAGGUUAGAGCAGGGCCAGGGAUUUAGCUCAGUGGUGCUGCUGCCUGCCUCGCAAGCGCAAGGUCCCAAGUUUGAUCCCUGGUACCAAAGAAAGGAGAGAUUAGAGCAAGCCCUGCCAGCUCCCAGGGACUCUGCACCCCUUUCCCACUUCGAUUUCAAAGGCUCAUAGCUGGAAGGGAAUUUUCCUCUGGGACAUUCAUGCCUAGGCCUCCCUCCUAUCUGACUUGGAGGAGACUGGACUUCGGACUGGAGCUGACCCUAGAACAAGUUUCAGCUUUGAGGCUACUGGGCUGGGAUGAGUAAGCGGCAUGUGAGACAGACCGAGGACAAAGUGAGGACACAAGACCCAAAGCAACUGCCAACACCUUGGUCUUGGACUUCCAGCUUCCAGUCCUGGAAGCUAGUAAAUUUCUGCUCAUUACAGAUUACUAGUCUCAGGUGUUGUAUCAUAGCAGCAAAGGUGGACUAAGAGUAUGGAGGAAUUUUUUUUACUAAUUCUGCAACUUUUCUAUAAACCCGAAACUAUUCUAACAUCUUUUUUUUUGGUACCGGGAAUCGAACUCAGAACCUUGUGUUUGCCAGGCAGGUGCUGCACCACUGAGCUAAAUCCCUGGCCCAAAACUAUUCUAAAAUAAAGAUUUUAUUUAAAAAAUCCCCACAUCUGCUAUCAUUUUUCAUCCAUUCACAUGGAAAAGAAAAAACCUCUGUUAGCACAGAGCCAGCCUGGACAUAGAAACUCAGUGCUCUCGCCAAGUGCUAGCAGGAGGGUAAACUGAGGCUCACCUCUGGAGGCAUCUGCCAAAAUUUAAUGUGCAGGACUCCUUAGGCCCAGGGAAUCCAACCCCCACAGUGAUCUGCACUGAGGAUAACCACACACCAGCCUAGGGUGUCUUCACGACACUGUUGCUAGGGACAGGGGACGGGCAACAACUGUCCCAGCAGACACCCGCGUGGGGAAAGGGUGUGCAGCCACCAAAAUGGAAUGAGGAAGUUUCAUGUGCGGAAAUGCAGUCAUCUCCAAGAUAUGCUGAUGCAUGAAAAAAGCCAGAACAGUGUUUACAGUAAGCCACCGUCUAUUUAUGUCCUAUUUCUUCUUAUAAUAGGAAUAAAUAUCCCUAAAGGAUACACAAAAAAGACCCGUGGGUGUCUGCAGAUCAGAAAUAGGUGGACAGACAUAGGAGGACGUGUGGGACGGACAAAAAGACAAACACUUCUGUUUGUCUUUUCUGUUGAUCUCUUACAUACAAAGACAUUAAAGCUCUCUCUUUAGUUGAAAAAAGUCUCCUCCGCAAAUCUCCCUGGCCUGGCCUCCCUCUCACCUCCCUCCAUCUCUGGGGGCGUGACGUCACCACAGCCUUUUGUGCCCUGAACUGUGUCCCUGCCCUGCCUGGCCUCAGUCCCUCCCUGUUUGCAGAGUCAUUAGAGGCUCGCCUUGCGGCCUCCACAUCCGUGUUCCACAUCCGCAGGUUCAACGAACCGAGGCUGAAAAUACUUGAGGAAAAAAGUAUGGGCACUGAACAAGUACAGACCGGUUUUCUGUUGCCGCUGUCCCCUAGACAAUGCAGUGUAAGGACUAACUGCUUACCUACAUGUACCUUAUGCUAUUGGCUAUGAGAAACGAUUCUCAGAAGCGAACUAGAUUCGAAGCACAAGGAGGAUGCGCGCAGUCUAUGCAGGCAUUAUGGUGUCGGAGGGGUCCCGGAUGUAGGUCCCCAAGGACGCCUAGGGGUAACUGCUGUCUGGGGAGAAGAUGUUCUUCCCACCAUGGCGCUGUCACGCCCAAGUUCAUCCUGGUGGCACUGCGCUUCCAGCAUUUUGUACUAUGAUUCUUUCUCACCCCGGAGGCUCUGAAGCCUGUGUGCCCUUGGGAUAGGAAGACAGGGAGAUGCAGGCGUAGACACAAAGGGAAAACUGAGUCUGAGCUCUAAGAUUUGACUGUCGGAGGGGACAAAGGCCAAGCAGGAGAAGGGAGCAGUGAGGACAAGGUCCCAAUCAGCGCCCCUGUGGGGCAGGGGAGCCUGGCGGGCCAGGAGGGCAUGGUCGAGUUGCAGAAGCCUUCUCACCUUCAGGGGGGCACCAGGCUGGGCCUUCUGGGAACCCCACAAAGGGCUCUAGUUCAAGAACCAGAAGCUGGGGCUGGGGUGAAGCUCAGUAGGAGAGCACGUGUGAGCACGCGCAAAGCCCCCCCACCCCCAACCCAGCGGCCUAAGAGCUCCUCAUGCCCCCGCCCUCCCAAAGAAGUAUUCAACUCUUGCCAAGGAGAGUUCAGUUCCUAAAAAUAAGCCUCCAAACCCAGAAUACCAGGAAAAGCCACCCAACUGCUCCCGCUGGCGUAAACACACAUCAAAGGCAGCGGGCGCAGGGCCCGGGAGUCUUCUUCGAGCACAGAAAACCACGUCUAACACACAAGCCGCGGCCUCCACGGCUGGCAAGGCUGCAUUCCACAGCCUUUCUAAACAACCCCCCAAAAGAUCUUAGCCUUUUCCUAAAAUGAAUCUCAUAUUUCCCUCUGCCUUUCUAGUCUGGGAGGGGAGAGGGGAGAGGAAAGAGGAAAGAAGAGGAGGAAAGGGAAGGGGGGGGAUGGAGGGAGGGAGGGGUGCGCUCCCCUUCACUUUGGGGGUCCUGUACCAUCCCAGCGGUGCAGCUACAAAGCUGCUGAGGCCUCCGCCCCCAGCUGAACCCAACGUAAAGGAACUUAACAGUAUUGGGGCUCAGAAAAUGAAGCUCCCAAGCACAGCUCAUUGGCAUGCUGAGCUCUCCUGCCUCUGCAUGGGGGGGCUUUCUCUGGAUCAGUCAUCUGACGUGAUACAGAUUCUGCAGCAAGAACUCAUACAGGAACCGUCAUCAUGACUCACCGCGGCGGGGGAGACCAAAGGUUGACACUUUGCACAGAAGGACUUUGUCCCAGGCUGCCACCUGUUCUACAGGCCCACUGUCUCCCUGUUCACCACCUCUAGGAGGUUCUAGAUUUCAUCUCAAGAUGCCCCCACGCCUGUAAUCAAUCUGUAACCUUUUCUUCCUGUUCCUCUGGCCAGUGUGAGUUUAUUCCAUGGACUUGAUGAAUGGGAGCCCCUGGGGGUGUAGGCAAAGCUCCUGUCCCUGCAGAGCUCGCCAGGGGCUCCAGAGAGUGUGGCUCACAGAUCUGGGCAUCAGCCUAGAGACAUUCUUCGUUCCUCCUGCCUUGGAUUUGCUUGCCUCCUGGGCUCUGGCCAAAUUCCAGAUACUGCAGGCUAACUGUUGCCGCUUGGAAAAGGAUGGCAACAUCGGUCUUGCCUUUGGCAAGGUGUAGGGAUCCCGUGCCAUGAGCGCAGAGGCCCCUGGCAUGCCCUCCCAGGCCUCUGCCCCAGGCAGGCUCCCACUCCACCCACCCUGACGAUGCUCCCUGGCACCUGCUCCCAACAUCUUCCUGUGCCAGGCAGUUUCCCUAGCAGAACCAAGGGAUGUUCCUGGGGCAAGGGCUGUGCUGAGCUUCUCCGGAUUCCCCACAGGGCCGGGGGAAAGCCCCUCACAGGACAGCUCCCCAGGCUGAGGGUCAGGUCCCCAUAUGACACCGAUAUCCUGUAUGCAACAGGUAUUUCUAGCAGGAGCUCUUCAGCAAGGUCCUUCUUCCUCGAGUACUAGGGACUGAACCUAAGGCCUUCCUUCACCCUGAGCUAUAUCCCCAGUCAAUCUGGUUUUUUUGAGACAGAGUCUCACUAAGUCACUAAAUUGCCCAGACCGAGCUCAAACUUGCAGUCCUCCAGCUUCAGCCUCCCAAAAUGCUAGACUGCAGAUGUGUACUACGACGCCUGGAAAAAAUGUCUAUUUUUAGGGUCUGGGAUAUGGCUCAGUGGUUGAGUACUUUCCUAGAAUGCAGGAGAUGCUGGGUUCCAUCCCUCGAACUGCAAAAAAGAAAAAAUUCUAUUUUUUAAAUGAGGAAAAAA